This 253-nucleotide long non-coding RNA is filed under the name Daucus carota (carrot). Its description in RNAcentral is "long non-coding RNA (DCAR_LNC004049)". The record is from RNAcentral. Lineage: Eukaryota; Viridiplantae; Streptophyta; Magnoliopsida; Apiales; Apiaceae.
CCGGUAAGCCAGUCUGUGCCAACAAGCAACACCAGAGUACGUAAUGGUAAGGAGAUUGAUUCACUAAUCUCCCCCACCACCCACCAUCUGGGGAGCACAUUUUCACCUUUCAAUGUAAUUAAAUAGCAAUUCUGUUCGCUACCAUCUUGUUUAUCCAGAACUAAUCUUGUUUGCUGCAUUUAUCAAAGAUUUUAUUAUUUUUUUCAUUUUUUGAUAAAAUAAAUUCGGUUCUUAAUGAAAGAACCGAACCGAA